CGCAACUUUGACGCUGUGCAUAAAUACUGGAACAAAAGAAGAACUUCCUCGAUACCUUGUGAAACGGCAGUAAAUAAGCUGAAACUGUUAUGCGAACUGAAAUUAACCUGUAAACGUGCUGGAGAAGGUACUUAUUAGAAAACCCCCCCUAGAGUCAAUUGAUGUCUUCAUACACAUCCUCAAAUUUUCCCCCAGCGCUUUGGAAUUUGCCUGGUUGUGACAUCAGAAACUCAAAAACAAUUUAAGAUGGAGUCCUGGAAUGCCUCAAGCCCUGCUGAGAGAAAGAGAGAGAGAGGGAGGAGAGGAGUCACUCGCUCUGUGAUUCUGGCAGUGCUUGGUCAUGUUGCCGAGGGUGUGAGUGUGUGAUUGAGAGAGAGGGACCCUCUCUAGGUGAUGGUGUAGCAGCACAGAAUGGUUUGUGGUGAUACAGAGAUGCAGGCCGUGAUGUGCUGCAGCAUCAAUUCCUGGGAACCUACGCAGUCGAGAGAGAGAGAGAGAGACACGAGAAAGAUAGUGUGUGUGUGUUUGAACGUGUGUGUUGUCUUGCUUUAGCAGCAUGUAAAUAUUGGAGUUACUCCUUGGCCAAUGCCUCCAAUAUUGCUCGUGCUGCUGAAGCAAGAAGUCACCAAGCAGCACAUGCACGUCAUCUUUUCAUCACAGCUACCGAGGCCUAGCCAGUGCAGGUAGUGGCUGACUCACUGGUACUGAAAUACCUUCAUGGACUGAAUCAUCAAACCAACAUAGAGAAAUCAGGAGGACCCUCGGUCUCACCGGAACAAACUGAAUGGUCAAAGGUAAAGAUAGAUGCAGUGUUUCGUUUUGUUUGAGAAGUUUAGUAGCUUUUUUUUUUUUUUAAAUGAAUGUUUUUAUUCUUCUUUAUGUUUAUACUGUUUGUAUUCAAUAUUUAAAAUUAUAAUUCUACCCUUGUAUCUUUUUUUUACGUUUCUUUUUUUUUUAAAUGAAAUAUUCCAAAUGCUGUUGCAUUUUGUGUUCAUGCAAAUGAAUAAUAAAACUGAAAAAAUUAAGGAAAAAACUCGUCUGACCUGUCGCAUACUCAUUUGAACCUCGUUAGCGCACCUUUUGUCGAUGUAUCUGUUGUUCAGUUUUUUCCCCACAGGGAACGCAACUUUGGUCAAAAGGUCUCGUCUUUGUGGUCGGUUUUCUUCUUUAGUGUGUUUGAGUAGAGUUGUAGAAAUGUUUUAUUAUCCUAUAUUUUGAACCCGUAUAUGUGAAGUGCAUUCAUGUAAGUUUUCUAAUUUCCGGCGAGUACACUUAAGACCACAAAACCGACUCCAAAGACUUUUUCCGACAAUAAGAAACUUGCAAGUUUUUAGCCAUUUAUAUGUGGAUUAUUCUGCUGGUUAAAAUGGACGGCAUAUUAAUAUUAGAGUCUCCAUCUUCGCACAGGAGAGGUUACCGAACGGCGCAUGCGUAUCAUAUCAUUCUUAUAUAACCUCAGUAUUAAAAAGCUUAACACCCAGCGAAGUUCUGAUGUGGGCAAGUUAUUUUUCAGUUUUCCCGGUAGUUGUAAAUGACAUGUACUGUUAACAUGAAGUGACACAUGUCACUUAUGUAACCUUAUAUUAAAUGAUAUAGCCUACAAUUUUAUGUGAAAUUUCUCACAAAGUUCUGUCGGCCUAAAAAAUAGGAAAGAAAACGGCAGUAUAACGCAAUGCAGAUCCUAAAUUUCCGCCAUUUAAUGAGAAAUCAAAAAGACGCAUUUAUGAGCAGGCUAAAUCAUCUUAACACGUAUAGCCACGAUUUGGACUCGUUUUUGUGUUCUGAGAAAUUAUAAUUAUUUUAUUCACUUAAUUUUUUGUAUGGUUUUACCCGGGUCAGAUAAUUUGAGGAUGGACUCAUUUACACGCAGAAAUGCGUGUGUGCUUUUUCCAUGUCUGGAUGCUGCGUUUGCCUCUGAUUUUAUCACAUCUUGUAUCCUUGGAAGUAAAGAAAUUAGUUUUUAUUUUUUUUUGUUUAAUUGACCAGCACUUAAAACCGUUGUUGCCUUUAACUCGUAACACGAUCACUUCAGACACACGUCGAUUUAAUCUUCUGACGCUUCGUUUUAGUCAUGUGAUGCUUUUAGACAUGAUCUGAAGAUGGUCAGCGCAGCUGA
Labeo rohita (rohu) is the source of this 2116-nucleotide long non-coding RNA. RefSeq lists it as uncharacterized. The transcript is spliced from 3 exons. The record is from RefSeq and is a predicted model, not a curated record. Lineage: Eukaryota; Metazoa; Chordata; Actinopteri; Cypriniformes; Cyprinidae.